GCAGUCGAGCGAAUGGAUUAAGAGCUUGCUCUUAUGAAGUUAGCGGCGGACGGGUGCAGUAACACGUGGGUAACCUGCCCAUAAGACUGGGAUAACUCCGGGAAACCGGGGCUAAUACCGGAUAACAUUUUGAACCGCAUGGUUCGAAAUUGAAAGGCGGCUUCGGCUGUCACUUAUGGAUGGACCCGCGUCGCAUUAGCUAGUUGGUGAGGUAACGGCUCACCAAGGCAACGAUGCGUAGCCGACCUGAGAGGGUGAUCGGCCACACUGGGACUGAGACACGGCCCAGACUCCUACGGGAGGCAGCAGUAGGGAAUCUUCCGCAAUGGACGAAAGUCUGACGGAGCAACGCCGCGUGAGUGAUGAAGGCUUUCGGGUCGUAAAACUCUGUUGUUAGGGAAGAACAAGUGCUAGUUGAAUAAGCUGGCACCUUGACGGUACCUAACCAGAAAGCCACGGCUAACUACGUGCCAGCAGCCGCGGUAAUACGUAGGUGGCAAGCGUUAUCCGGAAUUAUUGGGCGUAAAGCGCGCGCAGGUGGUUUCUUAAGUCUGAUGUGAAAGCCCACGGCUCAACCGUGGAGGGUCAUUGGAAACUGGGAGACUUGAGUGCAGAAGAGGAAAGUGGAAUUCCAUGUGUAGCGGUGAAAUGCGUAGAGAUAUGGAGGAACACCAGUGGCGAAGGCGACUUUCCUGGUCUGUAACUGACACUGAGGCGCGAAAGCCGUG
This 728-nucleotide ribosomal RNA is filed under the name Bacillus sp. WBUNB001. RNAcentral's name for it is "bacterial SSU rRNA". It matches the Rfam family "Bacterial small subunit ribosomal RNA", at positions 57 to 764 of the family's 1533-position model. The record is from RNAcentral. Lineage: Bacteria; Bacillati; Bacillota; Bacilli; Caryophanales; Bacillaceae.